This is a non-coding RNA of Shigella boydii Sb227, 108 nucleotides long. The record is from Rfam. Lineage: Bacteria; Pseudomonadati; Pseudomonadota; Gammaproteobacteria; Enterobacterales; Enterobacteriaceae.
CGCUUAUUUUGCGAAGGCGGAGUUCGACCGCCAGUGAUGCCACUGCUGGAUAAGCUGCGUAAGCUGUACGGGGUCGGACCGGUAUGCAGUGAACUACAUAUUGCCCCG